ACAGCUUAAGUGUUAACAGCUCAGUGGAGGGUCAGUGUGACAGACUGUAUUAGUCAGGGUUCUCUAGAGGGACAGAACUGAUGGAAUAUAUGUGAGAUAUAUAUAUAUAUAUGUAUAUAUGGGUGUUUGUUAAGUCUUAACUCACGUGAUCACAAAGUCCCACAAUAGGCCGUCUGCAGGCUGAGGAGCAAGGAGAGCCAGUCUGACUUCCAAAACUGAAGACCUUGGAAUCCAAUGUUUGAGGGCUGGAAGCAUCCAGCAUAGGGGAGAGACCAUGUGAAGACCAUGAUUGCUUUCCCUUCAGCCUUCCACCUUUGUAAGUUUCCUGAGGCCUCCCCAGAAGCAGAAUCCUGCAUAGUCUGCAGAACUGGAAAAAGCACAUUUAUGGUCUGGCCCUAGGGCUAUUUUACCUUGAUUUCCUCUCUGUCAGAUACAAUUUGGAGGAAACUGGUCAUUCUGCAGAAUAUCACAUUGACCCAUUGUACCAAUAUAAUGAUGUUGAUGAUCAUGUUAAUCAAUACGUCACAAAUACUUUGGUAAGACACUUAUAGUCAAGAGGAUGGUAAGCUUUAUGAAGAUGUAGGGGCCUGUCACAAUCGUGAAACUUAACAAGGUUGGGAGAAGAAGUCCAACAGUCUGCAGGAUUCAAGGCCAUCCUGGAAAAGACACUUCUUUAUUUAAGUUAUUUGAACCACUCCUCCAGAAUAUCAAUGGGCCUCUUUUUCUGGGGUACUUGUAUAAGAGAAUAGUUAGUACAACAAACCAUAGUCCUUACCACUGCAGCUAUUUUGAAGCUAGAACUGCUACUCUUGUUUUCUCCUAUUUUAUGCAUUCUACAUUACCUUCACCAUCAGC
This 855-nucleotide long non-coding RNA is filed under the name Homo sapiens (human). Its description in RNAcentral is "non-protein coding lnc-FAM171B-1:4". The record is from RNAcentral. Lineage: Eukaryota; Metazoa; Chordata; Mammalia; Primates; Hominidae.